AGUGAACGCUGGCGGUAGGCCUAACACAUGCAAGUCGAACGGCAGCACAGUAAGAGCUUACUCUUACGGGUGACGAGUGGCGGACGGGUGAGGAAUACAUCGGAAUCUACUUUUUCGUGGGGGAUAACGUAGGGAAACUUACGCUAAUACCGCAUACGACCUACGGGUGAAAGCAGGGGACCUUCGGACCUUGCGCGAUUGAAUGAGCCGAUGUCGGAUUAGCUAGUUGGCGGGGUAAAGGCCCACCAAGGCGACGAUCCGUAGCUGGUCUGAGAGGAUGAUCAGCCACACUGGAACUGAGACACGGUCCAGACUCCUACGGGAGGCAGCAGUGGGGAAUAUUGGACAAUGGGCGCAAGCCUGAUCCAGCCAUACCGCGUGGGUGAAGAAGGCCUUCGGGUUGUAAAGCCCUUUUGUUGGGAAAGAAAAGCAGCAGGUUAAUACCCCGCUGUUCUGACGGUACCCAAAGAAUAAGCACCGGCUAACUUCGUG
Molecule: ribosomal RNA, 492 nt
Filed under: uncultured bacterium
Lineage: Bacteria
Description: partial 16S ribosomal RNA
Rfam family: Bacterial small subunit ribosomal RNA
Source: RNAcentral